Molecule: ribosomal RNA, 253 nt
Filed under: uncultured bacterium
Lineage: Bacteria
Description: partial 16S ribosomal RNA
Rfam family: Bacterial small subunit ribosomal RNA
Source: RNAcentral
CACGUAGGGUGCGAGCGUUGUCCGGAAUUAUUGGGCGUAAAGAGCUCGUAGGCGGUGUGUCGCGUCGGCCGUGAAAACCUGCAGCUUAACUGUGGGCGUGCGGGCGAUACGGGCAGACUGGAGUACUGCAGGGGAGACUGGAAUUCCUGGUGUAGCGGUGGAAUGCGCAGAUAUCAGGAGGAACACCGGUGGCGAAGGCGGGUCUCUGGGCCGAUACUGACGCUGAGGAGCGAAAGCGUGGGGAGCGAACAGG